UGUGUACACAUCUCAGAGCUUCCUUCAACUUAUUAUUAUAAAAUAAGUUUACUUUCAAAUCCACCUUAAGUUAAUUUUUCAUUUUCCUUCCGUUUAAUUUUUAAUUAAUGUAACCCAUCACCACCUUUUCAUAAGCUGCACCUUGACCUGAAGUCAGUAAAAUAGUUAUUUUAGAUGAUAUCUUCUUAGAAUCAUCUGACAACGGCGGUAUACAGACUAAAUUAGAAAAGGUAAGGUAAAACGUGGACUAUCGAUUAAGGGACAGGUUCCUCUGAUAAGAAUGAGAUGCCGUCAAAUUCUUUGGGUUUGAAGAUUGUCUUUUACUACCCU
RNAcentral lists this ribosomal RNA (330 nucleotides) under Eulimnadia diversa. Its description in RNAcentral is "partial 12S ribosomal RNA". The record is from RNAcentral. Lineage: Eukaryota; Metazoa; Arthropoda; Branchiopoda; Diplostraca; Limnadiidae.